This 433-nucleotide long non-coding RNA is filed under the name Androctonus crassicauda. Lineage: Eukaryota; Metazoa; Arthropoda; Arachnida; Scorpiones; Buthidae. The record is from RNAcentral.
CGAAAAGUUUGUAGAUUUCUAGCUGUUUUUUCUGAUAUAUUAUACGAAUUAGAACUUCGACAAGCCAUUGUGAUGUAGGUAACCACGUUGGUGAAAUCACGUGAGAGGGGAGAGACGCCAUACCAUGAACAGAUGUCAACUAGAAAAAUGCAAACACUUGCAAAAGAUGUCCAAACAACUCCCAAUACUUCCAAAAUUUUUCAAAUUAUUACUGCCCAAAAUUCCAAAGAUGCAGUUGAUUCACCUUCAAAAUUUCUGCAUAUUAUAUCCCCAUUGCCUGAAGUUGUCAAUAAACAACGAAGGAAACAAUCUGCUGAAAUUUUAACAUCGGAAGAAAACAUGAUAAAACGAAAAGGAAAGCAAGAGAAAAAAGCCAGCAAAAGCACAGGGAAACGAAAAGUGAGAGUUCCAAGAAUGUUUACGUUCAUUGAUU